AGUUGAACUCAGAGCCUUUGACGGACGGACAGAGGACACUAAAACACUGCCAAGUGUUUUAACACAGGCGAUAGCGACUUCACCGCCGCUUUCGCAAUCGCAGUCUUUGCUUUGGAGCGCUCCCAGGUGUCAGUCACCUGAAACAGUCGCUGCGGUGAAAUGUGUGUAGAGAGGAGUCCCCACCUGCUGGCAGCCCUAAAACAAAGCAGCAAGGAGGAUCUGCAGCUUCCGGGUGUUGGACUUGGACUUUAAACCUUUAGCACCUCCCAGUGGUAGAAUGAAGAAACACACACUGUCACUUGCCCCUCAUGUGUCGCCAGUCGAAUCGUCUGCCCUGGUCCCUGAUUGUGUCCAACUGUUUCCCAUUGCCCUCAUGUGUCUUAUAGUCUGCGGCUCCCUUUCCCCGGUGCUGGAGGGUACCGACCAUUCACCUACCGGGGCCCGUCGCCUUAGACUCGGUGGCCCUCGGCCUGG
This is a long non-coding RNA of Gasterosteus aculeatus aculeatus (three-spined stickleback), 474 nucleotides long. NCBI's taxonomy places the organism in Eukaryota, Metazoa, Chordata, Actinopteri, Perciformes, Gasterosteidae. The record is from Ensembl.